This 252-nucleotide unclassified non-coding RNA is filed under the name Hevea brasiliensis (rubber tree). The record is from RNAcentral. Lineage: Eukaryota; Viridiplantae; Streptophyta; Magnoliopsida; Malpighiales; Euphorbiaceae.
GGAAUUUCAGCUAGAAACAUGGCCAAUAUUAUCUCUGGAUUCUGGUAGAGGUGCUUUGUGGUACUCUAUGUUUUUGUAAAUGCAUUUCAGUCAAUACAAAGAUUGCUUCAGAAUUGAGAUUGUGCAGCUAUUUUUGUUCGACAGUGUGAUGUAAACUUUGGCACUUACCUGUUAAUGGUUACUUCUUGUUGUUGUUGACCUUGCCUUUUCAAGGUCGCAUGUAAUGCAAAUUUGUCUCAUGGAAGUUAUUUG